AGGUCUUGCCUGCCCAGUGACAAGUUAAACGGCCGCGGUAUUUUGACCGUGCGAAGGUAGCGCAAUCACUUGUCUUUUAAAUGAAGACCCGUAUGAAUGGCGGAACGAGGGCUUAACUGUCUCCCUUUUCAAGUCAAUGAAAUUGAUCUGCCCGUGCAGAAGCGGGCAUAUAAAUACAAGACGAGAAGACCCUUUGGAGCUUAAGAUACAAGAUCAACUACGUCAAGGGCCCCCAAACUUAAGCCAAACUAAGUAACAUCUGAUCUAUAUCUUCGGUUGGGGCGACCACGGGAGAAAACAAAGCUCCCAUGCGGACCGGGGUUACAACCCUAAAACCAAGAAAGACAUUUCUAAGUCACAGAACAUCUGACCACAAAGAUCCGGCCUACCGGCCGAUCAACGGACCAAGUUACCCUAGGGAUAACAGCGCAAUCCCCUUUCAGAGUCCAUAUCGACAAGGGGGUUUACGACCUCGAUGUUGGAUCAGGACAUCCUAAUGGUGCAGCCGCUAUUAAGGGUUCGUUUGUUCAACGAUUAAAGUCCUACGUGAUCU
This 553-nucleotide ribosomal RNA is filed under the name Rhinodoras dorbignyi. RNAcentral's name for it is "partial 16S ribosomal RNA". It matches the Rfam family "Bacterial large subunit ribosomal RNA", at positions 1850 to 2606 of the family's 2925-position model. Lineage: Eukaryota; Metazoa; Chordata; Actinopteri; Siluriformes; Doradidae. The record is from RNAcentral.